UACGAAGGGGGCUAGCGUUGUUCGGAAUUACUGGGCGUAAAGCGCACGUAGGCGGAUCGAUCAGUCAGGGGUGAAAUCCCAGAGCUCAACUCUGGAACUGCCUUUGAUACUGUCGAUCUGGAGUAUGGAAGAGGUGAGUGGAAUUCCGAGUGUAGAGGUGAAAUUCGUAGAUAUUCGCAAGAACACCAGUGGCGAAGGCGGCUCACUGGCCCGGUACUGACGCUGAGGUGCGAAAGCGUGGGGAGCAAACAGG
RNAcentral lists this ribosomal RNA (253 nucleotides) under uncultured bacterium. Its description in RNAcentral is "partial 16S ribosomal RNA". It matches the Rfam family "Bacterial small subunit ribosomal RNA", at positions 524 to 776 of the family's 1533-position model. The record is from RNAcentral.